Molecule: ribosomal RNA, 541 nt
Filed under: Apolygopsis furvocarinatus
Lineage: Eukaryota; Metazoa; Arthropoda; Insecta; Hemiptera; Miridae
Description: partial small subunit ribosomal RNA
Rfam family: Bacterial large subunit ribosomal RNA (bases 411-541)
Source: RNAcentral
ACAAUUCCCCCCCUUUUUUUACAAAACAUGGUUUUUUGUUUAUAUAAAAAAUCUAACCUGCCCUAUGAUUUAUUUAAAUGGCUGCAGUAUUUUGACUGUACAAAGGUAGCAUAAUCAUUUGUCUUUUAAUUGAAGGCUUGCAUGAAUGGUUGGAUGAAAAAUAUACUUUCUUUAUUUUAUAAAAAAAAUUUAAUUUUUUAGUUAAAAAGCUAAGAUUUUUUUAAAGGACGAGAAGACCCUAUAGAACUUUAUUUUCUUUAUAUAUAAAUUUAAUAGAUAAAUAUAAAUUUAUAUAUAUAUGUUAAUUUUGUUGGGGUGAUUGAAAAAAUUUUUUAACUUUUUCUAUUUUUUACAUUUAUAUAUGUUUUUUUGAUCCUUUACUAAGGAAUAUAAGAUUAAGUUACCUUAGGGAUAACAGCGUUAUUUUUUUGGAGAGUUCUUAUCGAUAAAAAAGUUUGCGACCUCGAUGUUGGAUUAAAUUAAGUGAUAGGAGUAGAAUAUUAUUUACUAGGUCUGUUCGACCUUUAAAUUUUUACAUGAU